This is an unclassified non-coding RNA of Erinaceus europaeus (western European hedgehog), 273 nucleotides long. Its record names the gene 7SK. It matches the Rfam family "7SK RNA". From Rfam's summary of the family: 7SK was discovered as an abundant small nuclear RNA in the mid-70s but a possible function has only recently been suggested. Two independent studies have found that 7SK RNA binds the CDK9/cyclin T complex (known as elongation factor P-TEFb). Lineage: Eukaryota; Metazoa; Chordata; Mammalia; Eulipotyphla; Erinaceidae. The record is from Ensembl.
GGAUGUGAGGGCGACCUGACGUGACAUCUGUCACCCCAUUGAUCACCAGGGUUGAUCGGGCUGAUCUGGCUGGCUAGGUGGGUGUCCCCUUCCUCCCUGACCUGCACGUGGGUCCCUCUGGGAAGAGGGCUGCCUUCUUCAGACCUGUCUUCGGGUUUAAGAGUAGCUGCGCUCCUCUGCUAGAACCUCCAAACAAGCUCUCAUAAAAUGGUUAAUUUUUAGGGUAUGUGAACCUAGAUCAGAACAUUUGUUUUUAAAGAGGGAGACAGGCUU